Molecule: ribosomal RNA, 252 nt
Filed under: uncultured bacterium
Lineage: Bacteria
Description: partial 16S ribosomal RNA
Rfam family: Bacterial small subunit ribosomal RNA
Source: RNAcentral
UACGGAGGAUGCGAGCGUUAUCCGGAUUUAUUGGGUUUAAAGGGUGCGUAGGCGGGCUUUUAAGUCAGCGGUAAAAAUUCGGGGCUCAACCCCGUCCGGCCGUUGAAACUGGGGGUCUUGAGUGGGCGAGAAGAAGGCGGAAUGCGUGGUGUAGCGGUGAAGUGCAUAGAUAUCACGCAGAACCCCGAUUGCGAAGGCAGCCUUCCGGCGCCCUACUGACGCUGAGGCACGAAAGUGCGGGGAUCGAACAGG